This 497-nucleotide ribosomal RNA is filed under the name uncultured bacterium. Its description in RNAcentral is "partial 16S ribosomal RNA". It matches the Rfam family "Bacterial small subunit ribosomal RNA", at positions 899 to 1397 of the family's 1533-position model. The record is from RNAcentral.
ACUCAAAUGAAUUGACGGGGGCCCGCACAAGCAGCGGAGCAUGUGGUUUAAUUCGACGAAACGCGAAGAACCUUACCUGGGCUUGACAUGUCUCUGACCGGUGUGGAAACACAUCUUCCCUUCGGGGCAGAGUCACAGGUGGUGCAUGGCUGUCGUCAGCUCGUGUCGUGAGAUGUUGGGUUAAGUCCCGCAACGAGCGCAACCCCCGUCGUAUGUUGCCAGCAUUUAGUUGGGGACUCAUACGAGACUGCCGGUGACAAACCGGAGGAAGGUGGGGAUGACGUCAAGUCAUCAUGCCCCUUAUGUCCAGGGCUACACACGUGCUACAUUGGCCGGUACAAAGGGCUGCGAUACCGCGAGGUGGAGCGAAUCCCAUAAAGCCGGUCUCGGUUCGGAUUGGAGGCUGAAACUCGCCUCCAUGAAGGUGGAGUUGCUAGUAAUCCCAGAUCAGCAACGCUGGGGUGAAUACGUUCCCGGGCCUUGCACACACCGCCCGU